AAGCGGCCAGAUACCAAACCCCACCCAUUGAGAGAGAAGAUUUGAUUGGUCCAUCUGACUUUCAUUUGAAGGAACUCCCUCUUUAGAUGUAGAGCUAGCCAACCAAUCACAGAGCUGAAAGCAUAACAUCUUCUUCCUAGUAACAGUAGAGGCAGCAAAUGAAACGGAGAGGAAGAGGUGGACCUGGACAUCACAGCUGUCAGCACUGUGGCAAGUCCUUCACAAGAUCUGGAAAUUUAAAGGUUCAUCAGAGACUUCACACUGGAGAGAAACCCUACAACUGUGAACAAUGUGG
This is a long non-coding RNA of Etheostoma cragini (Arkansas darter), 295 nucleotides long. RefSeq lists it as uncharacterized. The transcript is spliced from 3 exons. NCBI's taxonomy places the organism in Eukaryota, Metazoa, Chordata, Actinopteri, Perciformes, Percidae. The record is from RefSeq and is a predicted model, not a curated record.